ACAUAAUACGUUCCCUUUGCUAAAAGCAACCACAAGCGAAAAAAAAACAAAUUUCCCUGCUCUUUCCGUCGCCUCCGCCGUCGCCGUAAGACUGUCGAUGGCCGCAGCCACCGCCACCGUCACCUUCUCGCCAUCUCCCCCAUCCUUCCUCAACUCCCAUAUCCCUCGUGGCCACCGACCUGCCUCCACCACGACGAUAGCUUUUGCACGCCGUUUUCGCGGUGUAAAACCUAGUCCCGAUCGCUCCCGAGGCAAGGUCGACCAGGUCGCCCACCCCGACGAUGGAUUCGGCGCACUCGAAGCGGAGCUCUGGCGCCUGCGCCGCCUCGUGGAGCUAAAGAUCCACCGCCUCGGCACCGAGGCCGACGCCGCCUACCGCGACCUACGCUCGGCGGUGCGCGAGGUCAGCGGAGACCGCGUCGUCCUAACCUUCCGCCGCUCGUCGCUGCGCUACCUCACCGGAGCACUCCUCUUCUUGCUCGCCUGCGCCAUCGCGGCGCGAUUGCUGCUGGGGAUGGUCUUACGGGCGUGGCAGCGGCGGGGUUUGAGGAGGGGAUUGUGGGGUGAAGGCGGCAGGGCGGUUGUGCGAAGGAGGGACCGCAGCUUGGGAGGGAAGGAGGUGGUGGUUGCUGUGUCGUCGCCGCCUAAGGAGGCAGCUCGGACCAGUCGUGUCGCAGAGCCAGCAAAGGAGGUCUGGAGGGGGUACUCACAAGCUAAGUUGCCAGACUGGUGGCCCAAUGUUGGAGCGACGGUGAUGGAACCUGGGCCAGAGAUGGAGAAGUGGGCAAGAAUGGCAAACAGAUUGGUCCGAGCAAUAAUUGAUAGUAGAGUCAUGGGGAGGGAUUACAGAUAUGAUGAUGCAAUUCAACUUCGGCAAUUAUGCAAGAUAUCGGGGGUAAAGGUCUGCUUUGAUACUGAAAAUGCUCGUGAUUCUUUCUACAGAGCAGCAGUGAACUUUGUUUUAGAUGAUUGCAGCAGAGCAGCAAAAGACAUCGGUGCAGCAAAACUUAAUGGUGAGGAUCCAAGGGAUUUUCUCGCCGGCCUUGCUAGCAAUAUUGGAUUAGACAAGUUUCGUGCUGCCACUCUUGUAUGUGCAUCAGUUGCUACUCGUACACGGACAUGCUUCUUGCAAUGCUGGGCUCUAGAGAUUCAAGGAAAACGGCCAGAAGCACUGGAUGAACUCGUGAAGAUUUGUAGAAUUCAUUACAUAUUUCCUCCAGAGGACAAUUCUAGAUGGAAAUGGUGGCUGCUGGACUAGAAAAGAAUUUGCAUGUUGCCGAGAGGGUUCACCUUCUAUAUCUAUACAGGAGCGUUUGUACUGCUGGUAACUUAAAAACAGCUGCACAGGCUCUUGGUCUGAGUUUGCCAAAUGAGAAUACAGAAGGAUUUGCAAUGCCCAUUCGUCAACCAUAGAUGAAGGCUUUGAAGCCCCUGACGCAGUUUUGGUAUUCCUACUUUCUUAACAUGCAUUAUGCAGUAUGCUACCAAGACAAGAAUCAAGCAUACUGCAGAUUCCCUUCUCAACAGAAUCUUAGGGACAGAUCUGCACGGGCCCCCCAGACAAAUGCUGAAUCAAUUGUUCCGUUCAUGUGCAUUUGAUAGAGGGGUGCUCUUUAAUAUGUGCAAUGUCAUCAAAACCUCGUAUAUUCAGAUGAUCGAUUCUGCUCACCAAACGCGCCCACCGCCAUGCCUAAUAUCGUGGCCGUAUUGGGAGUAUCAUGGCCGUAUUGGGAGUUCUCUUCUGCAGCUGUAGUUGGUUAGGACAUCUACAACCUGAGUCUUUGAAUUGUUAUUUUAAGAGCUACAAAAACUGUGCGAUGAGAAUUGGUUUUUUAAGAGCUAAAAAACUGUAUGAUAUAAUGAGAUGUCUUCAAUAUUAAUCACAUAAUAAAUAUAGUUAAUAGACAAUGUGUAGUGUAGAGAGACUCUUUGCAAAGAGAUCUCUCUUAUAUUUUUUAUUUAACCCUUAUUUCUGAAAAGGCUGUAUUAAAUGAUAUUGUAUAUGUCAUUAUUUCGUGGUCGUAUUGGGAGUCUGCUGUUGCUGGUUACCAUUGAUUACAGAAGCAAAGAGAAAUUCCUGAUGAGUUGUAUGAUUUUGUUGAGAAAUCGUUGUAUAGGCACACAAGUAGACCCUUCGACCAGAUCUGACUUGGUCGGAAAAAACCUGAUCUAACCUAACCUAGCCAAUAGCCAAUACAAAGGUAGGUAUGUGUCAUAUUUUUUUGACCCGUAAUAAUCCAUGGGUUGAGUGUGGACCAUGAUUGUGGUCCUGUGGACCAUGAUUUUUGACCUAAAAUCUGACCCAAAGCUAAAAAAUCCAAUCCAAUCUAAAAAAACCAGUCCAACAUGUACAAUAGGGAGGCACAUACCAACGUAACACUAGGCAUGAGUCGGGUAUGGGCCACACCAGCCAACCCAUGAUCCGACAAAACAUAUGCGGAUAACUAGACAAGCUAGUACAACUAAGGUUUUGUCUAAAUGUUGCUAUCUUGUAAAAUAAAGUUAUGCAAUCUAAGUUCCAGUCCUACCAACUAGCAUAUAAUCUAAGCUAGAAAUGAUAAACAUACAACUAAAGAAAGUAAUAUAAAUGUGGAAUCUUAAAUAAGAUAGAGAUAUAAACUCCCGUUGUCGUCUUGGUAUUUUUAUCGAGGUAUUAAUAAUUGUGCAAGCUUCUUACUAAUACUCGUUGGUGCCCCUACACAAGGGAAGCACACGCGUGGGGCAAGCACCAUGAUAUACACUACACCAAACCGGUUAACUUUCUAGAGCCUAAAGUUAGCCUUAAACUCUUCGAAAUUAGCUAAACCCUUAGAAGUUAAGCUCUCAGAAAAAUUUGGUCGGAAGGUAGCUUAAUUUCCUAGGGUCCUCUAGGAAGUUAGCUAUAGAUCCAACAACCCCUCUUGGAAGUUAUUUAUUUCCUACGGUUUCCAAAAAGCCCGUAGGAAGUUAUUUGCCUCUAGGAAGUUCACUAGUUUGGUGUAGUGAGGUAACUCCGUAGAUAGCUGCGAGUCUUCUCCAUGCGUAAGUGUUGCUUCGCUUCUAGCCUCUCUCGAAUGCUCCCCGUCGUCUUUACUAUCAAGCUUCCGGCCAAAACAUCACGAGACUCGUUCUCUCCGGUAAAUAGUGGCGACCACACAACAAACACGGUUGGUGUGAUCUCGCUAGACUCUUGCCCCACUUGGUACAAUUACAACGAUGCACGCAAGCGUCAGUGGGUUUGAGGGUGUCUAACCUCGCUCUAAUCACCGAGGCAUAACCUAGAGCAAACGCAAUUAAGCGGUCUAACUAACCUAAACACUUCGCAAAACACCUACGCUAAUCAUCUAGUGAUUCUUUUAGCACUUGGGUGUUUUGAGCUGAAGGAUUUGUGUCUCAACACACCACUAUGUUUCUUGGUUCUCCACACUUGCAAAUAGUCGAUUAGGUGGGUAUAUAUAGAGCCCCAAGACUGAAAGAGUCGUUGGAAGGAAGUAGACUUUUCUGCAUCACACCUGACCGGUCCGGUUGACCAUCUGUGUACACUAGACCAGAUUUGGUGCCUUCCAUAUUAGCUACCCAUUGGAUGUUGCCAGCCUUCUGACAACACAUCGAACCCGUCCAGUGAGUCAGUAGUGUACACCAGACUUGUCCAGCGCUUCCCAUGUCACUUGACCGUUGGAGCUAUAUAUUCUUGACCGUUGAGCCUCUGAGUUUGGUGUGCCACCAGUGUGCAUUGGACUGGUUCGGUGUGCAAUGAGGCUCGGGUGUGUUUUGGACCCUCUCUGAGUGUCGAGUUCAGUGCCAGGUCUGGUGCACCAUAGGACCGGUCUGGUGCACCCAAUUUUAGCCCAACUUCUUUUCUUCAUGUUUCUUUGUUGGGGCUUUUCCUGUCUUGUGUCUUGGUCUCUUGCAUGAUGUUGUUAAGUCUUCAAUGGGUCUUCUAAUGUAUUAUUUAAGGUGUUGCUCUCAAGGUUAUUAAAACGAUGUUAAAAUGACAUUCAAACGUCGUUUAAACGACAAAACGCUAUAUAGGUGGUGAAACGCUGUAACGUUUUCCAAUUUGUCGUAAAACAUUGUUUUAUGUCAUUUGAACUUCACAUUUUGGCGUUUAAACGCUAUAUGCAGUAAAACGUGGCGUUUCUAGUAUUUUAGUAUACUGCUCACCUGUGCAAUUUGGCCCAAUCCAGUCCAGUUCAGCCCUACCCGACCUCAGCCCCUCUCUCACGCUCAAGCCAUCAGAGUUAUUAAAACCUGAAGCUGUUUGAAGCGCUCCCCGCGUUUCGUGGUCGCGUUUUUGCAUAAAGGCCCUCUGUCUUUUCGCGAUUUAGCUCGUGGCCCUUGCUCGAACACCUGUCCGCGUGUGGCACGUAGGCCGGACCCGAUUUUUUCUUCAAUCAAGCUCUGAGCGUCUCCUCUCUUGCCCGCUGUCCACUUCCCUCUCAUCCUCUCGACCUCGCUUCCUCCCUCCCACCGUGCCCUGCCUUUUCCUCACGACCUCGCCGCUGAUUGCGGUCCCCCAUGGAACCGUCGUCCUCUCAAUCCGUCCGCCGCUCCAUCGUCUUCCUGUAUUUGUGCUGCUGAUAUGUGUAACUUGUGUUUCUCCAGGUGAAGGCGGCCGAGCACGCGGCCGAGAUGGAGGCGACGGUGGUCGUCGCGGCUGCCGUGGAGGCCGAGGAGGAGGAGGCUGCUGCUGCUGCGGCUUCGACGCCGCAGCGGUCUGGGAGGAAACGGCCCCGCGCGAUUGGGAGUGGGCGGUACCGCUCGGUGUCCAGGUGUUUCUCCCAAUCUCCCCUGCUUUCCUCAUCCUGCUGCCGCUUUUGCUUUUAAUCGCUGUGACAGCAUAGCACCCGCCUCGUCUCGCUGCCGGCUGCCGCUGGUGAUCCUGCUCCCUGUGGCAUUGGCCCUAGCCAGCAGGCAGGCAGUCGGCCAGGGACGGAUGGACGGAGACGACGGAUGGAAGCCGCAGCCACUAGCCAGCCACACCGCAGACCGCGCACGCAAGAGAAAGAAGCGGUGUUUGCAUGGACUGGGAUUGCCGACUUGACUGCGGAUUGACGGGGACAGGUGGGAGCCAGAACCGCCCGAGGACCCUCUUCUCCUCGGCCAAGAGACCCACACCGCAACUGGAACCCUCUUCUCCUCAUCCGACGACAGUGGUGGCCACUGCUCCGGCCAGGCAUAGCAUAGGCAGCCUGGUUACACAAACCAAAAAAGGUAUCCCAUACCCACGCUACUGCCUACACCUACGAAACCUGCUUAUCCUGCUGCAAUUUCUGCUAAAUUCGUGGCUAAAUUCAAAGAAUGGUAGUGUGAAGUGGAAUCAAAAUGGGAACUGGGUGCAGACUGCCUCAAAGGAUCAGAUUAUUAAGGUCCGUGGCUUGUGCUUUUUAUUUUUCUAUCUUCUUCAAAGAAUUUUCGGAUUACAGUGUGCACUCUAUAACCAGAAUUCUAUACUAUCUAUGGAGAUGGCCUAAUCCAUCCUAUAACCAGGAUCGAUAAGUUUGUUUUUUGAUGCCAGUAAAUUAUUGAUUUUGGUCCAUUUGCUAAUUCAUUUUGCAACUGUAUGACAUUAGAUCCAUGAAAGAGCAGCAAUCCUUCUGAGGGGACGUCGCUGGUUAGAUAGUUAUUACAGUAUCAAGAUUUUUAUAUGUUCCUUUACAUAUUUUAAGGUUCACAAAUUGAUACUGGUUUUAUAUGUAGCAGUUCAUUGUUCACUGUAACCAUACAUGUAAACCAUAAGCAAAUGUGAUGUAGGAGAUUGUUAUAUAAAGAGACUUUUGCAGCCA
This is an RNA transcript of Zea mays, 5765 nucleotides long. RefSeq lists it as uncharacterized. The record is from RefSeq and is marked validated. The transcript has 7 exons. Lineage: Eukaryota; Viridiplantae; Streptophyta; Magnoliopsida; Poales; Poaceae.